This 295-nucleotide long non-coding RNA is filed under the name Carica papaya (papaya). RNAcentral's name for it is "long non-coding RNA (CPAP_LNC008383)". Lineage: Eukaryota; Viridiplantae; Streptophyta; Magnoliopsida; Brassicales; Caricaceae. The record is from RNAcentral.
CUCUUUCUUACCACCAUUAUAAGUGUUGAAAAACAAUAUGCCGAAUUGAAAAAGGAUAAGGCCUUAUCUAAUACACUAAGACAUAAGUAAAAUAAGAAAGUGAUCUAAUACACAUAGAAAUGUUUCUUAUACCAAAUCAUAAAACUCAUCAUCCUAAUGAAUGGAUAUAAAAAACCAGUCUAAUCAUGAUGGCAUGGUGACUCAUCCGUUCACUGACUAAGUGAAAUGAGCGUUUUCUAAUAUGAGACAUCUAAGAUUAUAAUCGUGAAUAAAAUCAUUAAAUUUUUUUAUUAAC